UACGUAGGGUGCGAGCGUUAAUCGGAAUUACUGGGCGUAAAGCGUGCGCAGGCGGUUUUGUAAGCCAGAUGUGAAAUCCCCGGGCUUAACCUGGGAAUGGCAUUUGGGACUGCAAGGCUGGAGUGUGGCAGAGGGUGGCGGAAUUCCCGGUGUAGCAGUGAAAUGCGUAGAUAUCGGGAGGAACAUCCGUGGCGAAGGCGGCCACCUGGACCAGCACUGACACUGAGGCACGAAAGCGUGGGGAGCAAACAGG
Molecule: ribosomal RNA, 253 nt
Filed under: uncultured bacterium
Lineage: Bacteria
Description: partial 16S ribosomal RNA
Rfam family: Bacterial small subunit ribosomal RNA
Source: RNAcentral